Nelumbo nucifera (sacred lotus) is the source of this 3365-nucleotide non-coding RNA. NCBI's taxonomy places the organism in Eukaryota, Viridiplantae, Streptophyta, Magnoliopsida, Proteales, Nelumbonaceae. The record is from RefSeq and is a predicted model, not a curated record.
CCCAUCUAGUGCAGCGGAUCCAGUCUCAUACACUGAAUCGUCUAUCGAUAGUUUUUUCCGUUGUUAGAUAAUUCCGGUUCUCUACUCUUCCUAGCCGUGAACAUCCUCUAGAGGGUCCAAGGCUAAAGAAGUUAUCUGGGGAGUUACUGAGAACUGCAGCAGGGGGAUGGCAACGCUACCUCGGUGUUACCGGCCGUUGGUCCUAUUCCAUGCAUCUCAGUUCUCUGGUGCGAAAAGAAGGAUUCCAAUCCACAACCAUCAUCGUUCUCUGAUGAAGCGACAUCCCAUUAACGCCUUUUUCUUCAGAUACAAAGAAAACAAUUAUAAUCGCCGUCAGAGCUUCUGCUGCUUCAGCUCUUUGGAAUCUCAAUCUUCUGUUGAUAACGAAAGUAAUCAUAGUAACGAUGGAGAGAAGCAACAAGGACCCAGUUCGGAGCUUUGGUUAUACAAUACCAUGAGUAGACAGAGGGAACUCUUCAAGCCCAAGAUUCCUGGUAAAGUCGGAAUGUAUGUUUGUGGCAUUACCGCCUAUGACCUCAGUCACAUCGGCCAUGCCCGCGUCUAUGUCUCAUUCGAUGUCCUGUAUAGAUAUCUAAGGUAUUUGGGAUAUGAUGUCUGUUACGUACGCAACUUCACCGAUGUUGAUGACAAGAUAAUUGCUAGAGCAAAUGACCUUGGAGAGGAUCCAUUAAGUCUAAGCAGACGUUACUGCAAGGAAUUCCGUCAUGAUAUGGUGUAUCUCAAUUGCCUCCCCCCUUCUGUGGAACCACGUGUCUCUGACCACAUGCCUCAAAUUAUUUAUAUGAUUAAACAGAUUCUUGAUAAUGGUUGUGCCUACAGAAUUGAUGGGGAUGUAUACUUUUCUGUAGACAAGUUCCCUGAUUAUGGAUGUCUAUCUGGCAGGAAAUUGGACGAUAAUCGAGCUGGUGAAAGGGUUGCUGUGGAUUCCAGGAAACAAAAUCCUGCUGAUUUUGCAUUAUGGAAAUCUGCAAAGGAGGGAGAGCCAUUCUGGGAGAGUCCAUGGGGACCUGGACGACCGGGGUGGCAUAUUGAAUGCAGUGCGAUGAGUGCUGCUUAUCUUGGUUACUCUUUUGAUAUUCAUGGUGGAGGGAUGGAUCUUGUUUUUCCUCACCAUGAAAACGAAAUUGCUCAGAGUUGUGCAGCCUGUGGACAGAGCAAUGUAAGCUAUUGGAUGCACAAUGGAUUUGUCACUGUUGACUCAGAGAAGAUGUCCAAAUCACUUGGAAAUUUUUUCACAAUUCGUCAGGUUAUAGACCUAUAUCAUCCUCUGGCUUUGAGGCUUUUCUUGCUGGGGACUCACUAUAGAUCACCAAUAAAUUACUCAGUCGCACUGCUUGAAAGUGCAUCGGAUCGUGUUUUCUAUAUCUAUCAGACAUUACGUGAUUGUGAAGAGAUGUUAUGCCAACAUGAUGGAGCAAUCCAGGACUCUCUUCCACCUGAGACUUUGAGUUGCAUCAUUAAAUUCCGUAGUGAUUUUCAGACUUCUAUGUCUGAUGAUCUUCACACUCCUGUUGUUUUGGCUGCACUAUCUGAACCACUGAAAACUAUUAAUGAUCUCCUGCAUACUCGUAAAGGGAAGAAGCAGGCACUACGGAUUGAAUCUGUUUCAUCUCUUGAAAGGGAAAUUAGGAAUGUUUUGACUGUUCUUGGAUUGAUGCCUACAAGUUAUUCCGAGGCUUUGCAGCAAUUGAGGGAAAAGGCAUUGAAGCGAGCAGACUUGACAGAAGAUCAAGUUCUGCAGAAAAUUGUGGAAAGGACUUCAGCAAGGAUGAAUAAGGAAUAUGAGAAAUCAGAUGGAAUCAGGAAAGAGUUGGCUGCAGUGGGUAUUGCUCUAAUGGAUGGCCCUGAUGGGACAACAUGGAGACCAAGUGUGCCACUGUCACUGCAAGAGCAUCAAGUUUCUAGUUGAAUGGCUUCUAGGGCCAAUAUUGUCAUGCCCUACUGUUUUGUUCAUGCAGAAAUUCAGGGAUUCAAUUCAAAACCCUAGGACUGCAGCACAACAUAAUCAAUUAACUUAUCUCCUCCACAAUCCACAUCUAUUCACUAGAGGUAUCUUGGGUAAAAAAGCUUUGACAUAGUCCUUCACCAUCACCUUACUGAAUGGCCUGAUUCACAGGACUGAGGGGUCAGAAAUUCUUUUUGUUUUUUUUUUGUUUUUGAUUCUUUAGGAAGAUUGGAGGUAAUAGGAAUGAACGGGUACGGAACUGCUAUUACCAACCAAACGCUCCCAACACUGUCCCAACAGCUGCAGCUGCACAUUGGGAACAUCUCCCUUGUCAUUCAUGUGAGAUGUUCCCAAUGUGCGACUGUAAUAGCUUGUUGGGACAAUGUUGGGAGCAUUUACUGGGAACAGAACUGAGUUGGGAAUGAACUGUAUUGGGAAGUAGUGGUUCCUUAGAAGGGAUGGCUGAAUAUGAUGUGAGAGAUCAUGUAGUUGGAUUAGUCUUCAAGUAGGGUGCAAAUCGGGUACCCAGUUUGAUGUUGAUCGGCAUUUCUUCAAAGAGAAGGACUACAACUUGAGGCAUGCAAGCUUGGUACGAGAAGCUGCAAUGGCAGAAACCAACCCAGCAAUGCCUCCAUCAGUCACUCCUGUCUUAGUCCAACUUCAACCAUGUGUCUGCAAUUGGCACCAAUGGUCUGAAGCUGAAAGCAGACAGUCCAGCACUCCAGCCCUAUCAGUUCUAAUUGAAUUAGAUUUGUCAAUUCUUUCAAUUGGUAGAUAAGCGCGUCAAGCUCCUUUAUGCCAGAUAAGCUCAUCUCUUCACACCUUGAUACAUCAAUAAUUCGAUUUUCUGGUUCCUUGCAACACUUUUUUGGUAUUUCUUCAAUAAUUUUGCUAGAGUGGAAUGCAUGAGAAUUCAUCUACCUUUUUGUUCAACCAGGAGAUAGGAGGUCCAACUCUGUUUUCUGAGCCUCCGGAUCAUCUAGCAACACCUUACCAUUUUAUUUCUGAGCCUCGUCCGGCACCACCCUGAGUCAGUCCCAAAAGCAAGGAUCACUGUACCAUUGACAACAGUCAAGCACCGGGGUGCCCCAAAACUGCCAGGAACCGAAGUGUAUUUUCUGCCUAUAGCAUUUCUGUGUUUCGCUUGCAUUGCUUUGUUACUUUUCUUUUGCUUGCUUGACCAAGUAGAGAAGCCAGGAGUGUGUUCACUUGUGAUUGGUUAUGUAACAAGUGAUAUACAGUGAUGCGAGCAGCAGAACCAGGCUCCCAUAAAGAAAGGGCGAAGCUAAUUCACCAAAUAAAACAGAUGAUUAAGCCACUUAUGUAGUUAGUGCCCAUUUGGAGGGCUUUCAUGCAGCGAUUUCUGGCUUUGCAAGGUGGAACUCAUAUAAGAAAAAAA